This 497-nucleotide ribosomal RNA is filed under the name uncultured bacterium. RNAcentral's name for it is "partial 16S ribosomal RNA". It matches the Rfam family "Bacterial small subunit ribosomal RNA", at positions 28 to 507 of the family's 1533-position model. The record is from RNAcentral.
GAUGAACGCUGGCGGCGUGCCUAAUACAUGCAAGUCGAGCGAACAGACGAGGAGCUUGCUCCUCUGACGUUAGCGGCGGACGGGUGAGUAACACGGGGAUAACCUACCUAUAAGACUGGGAUAACUUCGGGAAACCGGAUCUAAUACCGGAUAAUAUAUUGAACCGCAUGGUUCAAUAGUGAAAGACGGUUUUGCUGUCACUUAUAGAUGGAUCCGCGCCGCAUUAGCUAGUUGGUAAGGUAACUGCUUACCAAGGCAACGAUGCGUAGCCGACCUGAGAGGGUGAAUCGCCACACUGUAAGUGAGACACGGCCCAGACUCCUACGGUAAGCAGCAGUACGGACUCCUACGCAAUGGGGGAAUGCCUGACGGAGCAAAGCCGCGUGAGUGCUGAAGGUCUUCGGAUCGUAAAAUUAUGUUAUUCGGGAAGAACAAAUGUGUAAUUACCUAUGCACGUAUUGACGGUACCUAAUCAGAAAGCCCCGGCUAACUACGUG